GGAACUCCUACCUGCCCUUUGCCCUUCUCGAGGCCGGUGCUUGACUGGAGGAGGGCUGGCAGCAGAAGUGCAGCUGACCGGGUUGCGUUUUCGUACGGCUGACUAAAGCGGAUACCGGUGGCGACUCAUUUCUCGUUUUAUUUUUCAACGAUUUGGCGGAGAAGCUCCUCUUGUGAAUGGACUUUGGAUUUCUUGGAGCUGCGCUGCGGGUCCCACAGUGUGGCUUUCGGCCCGUGCUGUGCUGGCGCCUGCACUUCCUCUGGCGGGGCACGGGGUGGCGCUCCCUGGUAAAGCAGCGGCCAGGGGGAGCCGUGAGUGAGGCGCUGCCUCUCCCGCUGAAGCGGGUUCCAAGGCCACCGUGAGGGGGACCAUCCAUCCAGGUAAAACGUGUUCUUUCCUUGUUCCUUUGCGAAUCGAUGGGGAUCAGGCUUCCCCAGGUGGUGAAGUGAGGAACAGGGACCGCGGGGCUCGCCUGACCAGUGGGGUCUCCAUCCUUGUCCGUGCUGACAAAAGACAAGAACAGACAGCGCCUGAAAUCUUCCCGCCUCCGUGAGGGAAGCCUGCGUCUGGGAACGCGCCGCAGGGAAGUGAUCCCUGAGUGAGGGAGGAGGUGCCGGGGCAUCAUUAAUCAGACCUCAAUGCCGGGAAGGUUCUUUGUUUAAAGAAACACUCAUGUUUAAAGAGCACUUGGUGCGGACUUGCUGUGGCCAUCGCCCUCAACAGCUCAUCUUUAGGAGGUGCAGGCUGAAUUCACGCCUCGGUGUCGUCCAUGUCUGCCUGCCGCGCAGAGGAGACAGCGAGAGGCCUUCCCACCGCACGGCUUUUACGGGAAGCUCUUCGCAUUGGCUACAGGGGUGUGGUUUGGUUUAUAGCCACACCAAGUAAUUUUAAUAGAACUCAAUAACUGUGUUGCCUUGCAGGCUCCGAGUGCUACAGGCAGACCCGAGUCCGAGUCUUCCUACGGUUCAUUGUCCCCCCCUGGAUUUCCUAGGGACUCCAGAUACGAUGGCAUCGAUGUCAGUUAACUUGGCACUUCUUAAAAUAGAUCUAUGAUCAAAUCUUAAGUUUUUCCGAAUAAGACUCUGGAGGAAUGCAGGAAGGUCAUUUGAUUACUUUAAAAUAAGAGGAUUUUAUGUUAAAAUAUUGAAAAAGCCAGUCAUAAAACUAAGCUCUGUACCAAUGAAUAUAGUUCGCGAAGCCAGCAGCACAGGCUUAUUAUUAUAAAUAUCAAACACCACCAUUAUGAGUAAGCUCAUUUAUUUUCAAAGCACUUUGCGAUCAUUAAUUGUUCACGUCUGUGAAUACCCCCUGAGAGACAGUAUUAUUAACUGCAUUUGAAAGGAAGAAAACUAAGGCACAGAAAACCCGUAAUUCAUUGUCCUGAGGGGAAAAGGAGACACCAGGAACACGGCUGUCCUUUCGCUGCAUCUUCUCUUUGGUAGAGAUCCAGGGACAUCUGGAACAUCCACCCUCUUUCUCCCACUCACGGCCAUGCCACCACCUAGUGCCUCACUGACAUUUCCUCUCAAUCUCAGGAUAAUCACAUCGAUGUAACACUUGGCAGGUUUGUUAUCUCAGUGUCUAUUAUCUCAAAAAUUAAUCCUAAUAGCAACCUUAGAAAGAGGCAAUAUUAGCCCCAUUUCAUAGGAAAAUGAAGGAUCAGUGAGAAAGUGACAGGUCUGUCACUGGCAGUGCAGGGCAGGGCCAUUGUGGUGAGUCAGGCCUCGGCUGCAGGUCUGAGUUUAUGCCAUUGCCCCCAUCUGUGGGGUCUAGGAGGCUGUUGUCUAAGCAGAAGGCAUGACCCAUCAGGGGCCAUGGGUGGUGGGCACAGAAUUGAGUCAUCUGACUGCCUUCCCACCCACCUGUAUGUGUUCUUUGUUUUAUUUAAGUCCUGUGAGGGUAGUUUAGGACCUUGUCCCUUCCCACAGCAUAGCACAGAAAAUUGGGCAAGUCCAGACCAUGACUAAAUCCACUUUAAAAAACCCACCCCCGCUGAGACCGGCGGAUUCUCUCCCUCCCCACUUGAGAUAUGAUGUUGCCUUAAAUGGUCCAGCAGUCGCGGAGCCUCAGGGGGCCUCUCUGCCUUAGUUGGUGCAUUCCAGUGCUGCUCGGUCUGUAUUUCCAGAUCUUGCUUUUAUCCUUUUAUUUUCUAGAGUAAUUGAUAAUUCCAAUCUAUCUGGCCUGCAUGAGAUUUAUAAAAUAAAUGGACAAAAUAGAAAAUAAAUAUUUUAUGGAGCCAC
This is a long non-coding RNA of Homo sapiens (human), 2240 nucleotides long. Ensembl annotates it as long intergenic non-protein coding RNA 574. The record is from Ensembl. Lineage: Eukaryota; Metazoa; Chordata; Mammalia; Primates; Hominidae.